Molecule: RNA transcript, 2721 nt
Organism: Impatiens glandulifera
Lineage: Eukaryota; Viridiplantae; Streptophyta; Magnoliopsida; Ericales; Balsaminaceae
Exons: 3
Source: RefSeq, a predicted model, not a curated record
CUCUUGACUGACUUUCUCUCUCUACCCUCUCUCUCUCCUCACCAUUUCUUCACUCUCUUCCACCAAAAUCUUCAUUGCCGUCAUGGAAACCGGCAGCCGGAGAACAAUACUAACAUCUUACACCAACUAAUUUUGAAAAAAAAUUGAAUCUUUUACUCCAUUCAAAUGGCGGCCACAAACACAACAACAUCAACUACACAACAACCGAUCGAACCAUCAGCCGAUGAUUUAUCAGCAAAAGCAGUCCACAAAAGAUUCGAAGGUUUAAUCAUGGUUCGAACAAGAGCCAUUAAAGGCAAAGGUGCUUGGUAUUGGGCUCAUCUAGAACCAAUUCUCAUCAAUAAUUCCGACACCGGUCUCGCCAAAGCCGUCAAAUUAAGAUGUUCACUUUGCUCCGCCGUCUUCUCCGCCUCCAAUCCAUCAAGAACCGCCACUGAACAUCUCAAAAGAGGAACAUGUCCCAAUUUCAAUUCCCCAUCAAACCCAAAUCCCAUUUCUUCUGUUUCACCUCCUUCCUCCUCUCAAAACCACCGCAAACGUCCCGCCGCCUCCGGCGGCGGCGGCCGUGCCUCUUAUCAUCAUGUUACUCCUCUAUCGAUUGUUGACCCAUCAAGAUUCUCAGUCGAACUAGCAUACCCACCAACACCGGCGGUUCAAAAUCAUCAGCAUUUGAUCUUAUCAGGUGGGAAAGAGGAUUUUAGUGCUUUAGCAAUGUUGGAAGAUAGUGUAAAGAAACUUAAAUCACCAAAAGCUUCACCUUCACCGGUUUUAACCAAAACCCAGAUUGAUACAUCUCUUGAUUUUCUCACCGAUUGGGUUUAUGAAUGUUGUGGGUCUGUUUCUUUAACCAGUCUAGACCAUCCAAAGUUCAAGUCUUUUCUAAACCAAGUCGGUUUACCAUCAUUAUCAAGACGUGACUUCAUCGGAGCAAGGUUAGAUUCAAAGUAUGAAGAAACAAAAGCUGAAUCAGAAGCUAAGAUUCGGGACGCCAUGUUUUUCCAAAUUUCAUCAAAUGGGUGGAAAUCAAAACAUCAAGGAGAAGAGAAUUUCAUCAAUUUAUCUGUAAAUCUACCGAAUGGAACUAGUGUGUUUCGUCGAGCUGUUUUCACAACUGGUUCGAUUCCUUCGAAAUAUGCAGAGGAAGUAUUAUGGGAUACGAUUAGAGGUGUCUGUGGGAAUUCUGUUCAACAAUGUGUGGGGAUUGUCUCCGACAGGUUUAAAUCAAAAGCAUUGAAGAAUUUAGAGAAUCAACAUCACUGGUUGGUUAAUCUUUCAUGUCAGUUUCAAGCAUUUAUCAGUUUGAUUAAAGAUUUCAUUAAAGAUUUCCCAUUACUAAACAAUUUGAUCGAUAAUUGUUUAAAACUAGCCAAGUUUGUAAACAACAAGACUCAGAUUAGACAUGCAUUUCAUAAGUAUCAGUUACAGGAAUACAAUCAAGCAAGGUUAUUGAGAAUUCCGUCCAAACAUAGCCAAAGAACGAAUUUUGGUCCAAUCGAGACCUUAAUCGAAGAUAUCUUGAGCUCUGCACGAGCUCUGCAGCUUGUUUUGAUCGACGAAUCGUUUAAGAUUGUAUCUAUUGAUGAUUCGUCGAGUAAGGAGAUUGAAGAUAUGAUGAGGGAUCCUCGUUUUUGGAAUGAAUUAGAAGCUGUUCAUUCGUUGUUCAACUUGAUAAAGGGAAUGGCUCGUGAAAUCGAAAGAGAUAAGCCUUUGGUUGGACAAUGUCUUCCUCUUUGGGAUGAAUUGAGAAGGAAAGUUAAGGAUUGGUGUUUGAAAUUCAACAUUGUUGAAACAACAUUGAUCGAGAAGAUAAUUGAACGACGAUUCAAGAAGAAUUAUCAUCCGGCUUGGGCUGCAGCGUUCAUACUCGAUCCACUUUACUUAAUUCGCGAUUCUAGUGGGAAAUACAUGCCUCCUUUCAAAUGCUUGACAUCAGAGCAAGAGAAAGACGUCGAUAAGAUCAUAACUAGGCUUGUUUCCAGAGAGGAAGCUCAUAUAGUUUUAAUGGAGCUUAUGAAAUGGAGAAGUGAAGGACUUGAUCCUGUUUAUGCUCAAGCUGUGCAGAUGAAAGUGAGGGAUUCAAAUACGGGGAAGAUGAAGAUUGCGAAUCCGCAGAGUAGUAGACUUGUUUGGGAAACUCAUUUAACUCAGUUUAAAUCGUUAGGGAAAGUCGCGGUUAGGAUUAUAUUUCUUCAUUCGACUUCUUGCGGAUUUAAGUGUAAUUUGUCAUUGUUGAGAUGGAUUCAUUUGACCUCGGCUAUGGAUAGGGCGCAAAAGAUGAUAUUUAUCGCUGCUCAUUCGAAACUCGACAACACGAAAGAUGAUGAGGAGAAUGAAAUCGAACUCUUUUCAUUGACCAAUGGAGAUUUAAACCAUGCACGAAUAGGAUGAUGAUGAUCAUCAUGUUAAUGGAAGGUCAGAUGAUCAGAUCAGUUAACAAACAAGCUAGCUUAGAUUCUUUCAUUCAAUAAAUCAUAGAAAUUUGAUGUCAUGAAUGAUGUCGAGAAUGAUGGGACAGAAAGACUCGAGUCUCAAAUGAAUCGGAUUAGUUGAGUUGAUUGAGUGUUAUGGGGUCCUAGGUGGGUAAUUUUAAUGUAAUGUUUGUAAUUUGUAUUGUUUUGUUUAUGGGUUAGAGAGUAUAAUUAAUGUAUGUAUAUAUGAUAAGAUAUGAAAUAAUGAAAGUGACCCAUUUGUUAAUUAUUCCUUGUGUCUGUCUGAGUUUGA